This 497-nucleotide ribosomal RNA is filed under the name uncultured bacterium. RNAcentral's name for it is "partial 16S ribosomal RNA". It matches the Rfam family "Bacterial small subunit ribosomal RNA", at positions 28 to 507 of the family's 1533-position model. The record is from RNAcentral.
GAUGAACGCUGGCGGCGUGCCUAAUACAUGCAAGUCGAGCGAACGGACGAUAAGCUUUCUCCCCUGAGGUUAGCGGCUGACGGGCGAGUAACACGUGGAUAACCUACUUAUAUUACUGGGGUAAUUUCGUGAAACCGGAGCUAAUACCGGAUAAUAUGUUCAACCGCAUGGUUCAAAAGUGAAAGACGGUUUUGCUGUCACUUUUAGAUGGAUCCGCGCCGCAUUAGCUAGUUGGUAAGGUAACGGCUAACCAAGGCAACGAUCCGUAGCUGACCUGAGAGGGUGAUCGGCCACACUGGAACUGAGACACGGUCCAGACUCCUACGGGAGGCAGCAGUAGGGAAUCUUGCGCAAUGGGCGAAAGCCUGACGGAGCAACGCCGCGUGAGUGAUGAAGGUCUUCGGAUCGUAAAGCUCUGUUAUUAGGGAAGAACAGAUGUGUAAGUAACUGUGCACGUCUUGACGGUACCUAAUCAGAAAGCCACGGCUAACUACGUG